GGAUGUGAGGGCAAUCUGGCUGCGACAUCUGUCACCGCAUUGAUCGCCAGGGUUGAUUCAGCUGAUCUGGCUGGCUAGGCAGGUGUCCCCUUCCUCCCUCACGGCUCUGUGUGUGUCCCUCCUGAAGCUGCCAUUCAGAUGGCCUUUCCGGAAUAGAGACCGACAGGUCUUUGGUCGAGGGUUAUACAAGUAGCUGCGCUCCCCUGCUAGAACCUUCAAACAAGCUCUCAAGGCCCAAAGUCCCAGGUUUAAGAGUCCCCAUACGACCAUAAGCCAGAGCUGAACAGUGAUCU
Erinaceus europaeus (western European hedgehog) is the source of this 293-nucleotide non-coding RNA. Lineage: Eukaryota; Metazoa; Chordata; Mammalia; Eulipotyphla; Erinaceidae. The record is from Rfam.